Molecule: ribosomal RNA, 465 nt
Filed under: Vreelandella stevensii
Lineage: Bacteria; Pseudomonadati; Pseudomonadota; Gammaproteobacteria; Oceanospirillales; Halomonadaceae
Description: partial 16S ribosomal RNA
Rfam family: Bacterial small subunit ribosomal RNA
Source: RNAcentral
CCUACGGGUGGCUGCAGUGGGGAAUAUUGGACAAUGGGGGGAACCCUGAUCCAGCCAUGCCGCGUGUGUGAAGAAGGCCCUCGGGUUGUAAAGCACUUUCAGUGAGGAAGAACGCCUGGUGGUUAAUACCCAUCAGGAAAGACAUCACUCACAGAAGAGGCACCGGCUAACUCCGUGCCAGCAGCCGCGGUAAUACGGAGGGGGCGAGCGUUAAUCGGAAUUACUGGGCGUAAAGCGCGCGUAGGUGGCUUGAUAAGCCGGUUGUGAAAGCCCCGGGCUCAACCUGGGAACGGCAUCCGGAACUGUCAAGCUAGAGUGCAGGAGAGGAAGGUAGAAUUCCCGGUGUAGCGGUGAAAUGCGUAGAGAUCGGGAGGAAUACCAGUGGCGAAGGCGGCCUUCUGGACUGACACUGACACUGAGGUGCGAAAGCGUGGGUAGCAAACAGGAUUAGAUACCCUAGUAGUC